This is a long non-coding RNA of Nelumbo nucifera (sacred lotus), 2528 nucleotides long. RefSeq lists it as uncharacterized. The record is from RefSeq and is a predicted model, not a curated record. Lineage: Eukaryota; Viridiplantae; Streptophyta; Magnoliopsida; Proteales; Nelumbonaceae.
UAGACUAUCCAACUUUGUUGAUUCUAUUUCUUUCUACACUACUGGAAACGCCAUCGGAAAAGCCGGUUCAAGCCCUUUCUCACUCUCUCUCUCAUCGUUUCUUCCAAACAAGCAUUGAUGUCUCUCUUGGUCAACACUCCUCAAUAGCCUGUCCAUCCAACAUUGUUCACUCGAUAAGCUGAAUUGGAGUAAAUCCUAGGAAUGUUCUCUCUGGUUUACUCCUCAAGCUAUUGAUCACUUUGCUGCAUUACACUGUUCUUAGGCAUGUCUCUAUCUUCCCUUUGUCUCUUUCUCUCCUUAAACCCAUGUCUUCCUAACUUGCGCUAUGGAAGAUUAGUGGCUUUCAAUUGCAAGAAUAUCCUCAUGGUCCUGUCUUCAUCUCUCUCUACAACUGUUCACUAUUGCAUGCCUAUAAGGACUGUUGAAUCUGUUUUAGGGUUUAUUAGGUCGAGCUCCAGUCAGGGGUGGUUUUCCUCUUUGCUUCAGUUAGGGUUUGGGUUUUCUUCAGUUCGGUUCUCUCUCAAUCAAGGUUGAGUUUCAGGAAGUUUUCACUACUCUUGAAAUAGCCUUUGUAAUGCUUUACAUACAAAUAUAAUGCUUUGCAAUAUCGGCUAUGAUGUGAAGAGUCGUAGACUUAUUCCAGUUGACAACAACAGUUGCUCAAAAGCAAGUGAAGGCUCAGCUAAGGGUUUCAAUUACCUUUUGAUGGAACUUCAUGUUGUAGAAUGCAUACCAUUCAAGAUGAAUACUCUCCAUUGAGGGGACUUAUACCACGACAAGGGACUUGCCUUGACUAACAGUGAGAGAUUUUCACUAUUUGUGAGUUUAGGGUUAGGAGGAUUUCCUACCCCUAUUUUGUUUUCAAUUCAAACUUUCAAGGAAAACAUGAUACAAGUAAAUAAAAGUAUGGAACAGACAAACUUUUAGAUUGGUGAUUAAAAGUAGAAAGCCAGGUGUAUUCUAUCCUAUUUAGCAUAUAUCUGUUUUUUAUUGAAAUAAUUCCUGAAAAAAACAUUGUUUUAUUUGUUUAUAUGAUACAUGUGCCUUUGUAUAUUUACAUCUCAAAUAAGAUAGGGCUCAAGAAUUGAACUUUGAUACAUGAAUGCUGGUUUUGUAAUUUGUACUAUUGUAUUUGUGGUCUCCAUGACAUGUUUGGGAGUCUAAAGAUACCGUUUUAUAUUCAAUUUCUUUUAUUGAUUUAAAUUUUGAAUCUCAUAAAUGUAUUUCAAGACUUAUAACUGACAAGUAAGACACAGUGAGCUAAUCAUCUCAAGUUAAACCAUUGUUGCCAAGGAGAGAAGAGGGCAUUGUAAGGGAGAGUUUAGAGGUUUUUCUAUUAAACCAGUUAGGAUGUAGCACAAUUGUAAAUUAGCAUACUCAUUGAGCAUUUGAGCACAAAUUAUCAAAAAAAAAACUCAUUGAGUAUUUGAGCACGUCUUGGGUAAAGCAAUAGUGAUAAGAGUUGUGUUUUCUUAACAUAAUUUUCAUAAUAUUUUAUAAUGAUUAAGUGUUCAAUUCAAAUAUGAGAAUGAGAUUCUACUCAAUUUUCUAUAAUCUAAAUUGCAAAAGAAAACAAUGAACUCUACUAAGUUUUUUUCCCAAAUUAGAAUAAUAGUCUUGACUCUUGAUACCCACCUUUGGGAUUCAAGGGUGAACAAUUUUGAUGGAAGAAAAAGGCAAGCUUCAACUGUUAGUUAAUAAAGGUACAUACUCAUAUAAGAUCCUCUAGCAACAUUAGACUCCUCAAGGCAUUCAUUAUUCAUUUAUUUAUAUUUUUUGUAAGGACCAAUGGCAUUUAUUAUGUUAUGUGGUGUUUCCCCAUAAAUUUUUUACUAUAUUCCAUUAUUUCUUGUAUCUCUUGAUUAGUUGAUCUCCUUGGGUUAUGAAACUUUAUUUGUACUUUUCUUUCUAUAGCUUUCAUUUUAGCAUAAAGUGAUUGCGUAGGAAAAUCUUACACUUUAUUAUCAGCCCUAAUCUUCUUUGCAUAGGUUUUUGCUAAGAAAAUUGGUAGGGAUACCAACCUAUUAAUUUCUACCCAGUGAAAUGGUUAACUUGGUUGUUUAACAAGUACAAAUGUACAAUUAUAGAUGACAUAUGUGAGGUUUAUGUACAUAUAAAUUGGAUAGGGUUCAUUAUUACAAAUACCAGCCUUAUACGUCAUGGAUUUCUAUAAUGAAUGCAUUUUCUUUCCUCAAACCUAUCAAAAUUUUGAAUUAUUCAAAUAUAUAGAUGCUUAUUGUUGUAAUUUGGAUAGUUACUAACAAUGACUUGAUUGUUUAGAAGGAAUAGCCUAGAUAGUUAUAGACACCAGGGUCUGAAAACAUCUUGCUCUUGUGGAGGAUGAAUAUGUGCUAUUCACAUAGGGAAUGUAUAUAGGAGAGAUUAGAAUUUGUAUUUGGUGUAAAUUUGUACUUUAUAUAUGGAUGUAUUUUCUUACAAUGUUAAUUAGAUGUACAAUUAUAGACAUCCAAACAGUGUUAGCUAUCUAUAUGAUGGGUUUUCAAGGGUAAUCACAUCUAACAUUUCAA